Molecule: ribosomal RNA, 684 nt
Filed under: uncultured bacterium
Lineage: Bacteria
Description: bacterial SSU rRNA
Rfam family: Bacterial small subunit ribosomal RNA
Source: RNAcentral
GGGAAGAAACACUGGGUAGGCAAACAACCUACUAGCUUGACGGUACCAUAAUAGAAAGCCCCGGCUAACUACGUGCCAGCAGCCGCGGUAAGACGUAGGGGGCAAGCGUUGUUCGGAAUCACUGGGCGUAAAGGGCGUACAGGCGGCCAUGUAAGUCAAUUGUGAAAUUCUUAGGCUUAACCUGAGAACUGCACUUGAUACUGUGUGGCUUGAGAUCAGGAGAGGAGAGUGGAAUAUGUAGUGUAGCGGUGAAAUGCGUAGAUAUUACAUAGAACACCGGUGGCGAAGGCGGCUCUCUGGCCUGAUUCUGACGCUGACGCGCGAAAGCUAGGGUAGCGAACGGGAUUAGAUACCCCGGUAGUCCUAGCCGUAAACGAUGGGUACUAAGUGUAGGAGGUCAUUGACCCCUCCUGUGCUGCAGCUAACGCAUUAAGUACCCCGCCUGGGGACUACGGUCGCAAGACUAAAACUCAAUGUAAUUGACGGGGGCCCGCACAAGCGGUGGAGCAUGUCGCUUAAUUCGAAGCAACGCGAAGAACCUUAUCCAGUGGCUUGACAUCCUUUGACAACCGUGNAAACACGGCUUUCCCUUAUGGGACAAAGUGACAGGUGCUGCAUGGCAGUCGUCAGCUCGUGUCGUGAGAUGUUGGGUUAAGUCCCGCAACGAGCGCAACCCCUGUCUCU